RNAcentral lists this long non-coding RNA (214 nucleotides) under Phoenix dactylifera (date palm). RNAcentral describes it as "long non-coding RNA (PDAC_LNC012026)". The record is from RNAcentral. Lineage: Eukaryota; Viridiplantae; Streptophyta; Magnoliopsida; Arecales; Arecaceae.
AAUAGGGUAAUAGGUUCACACUUGCUCCUAAGUCUAAUAGGGCUCUCCGAAUGAUGGUUUCUCCUAUUUUAAUUUCAAUAGUGGGGCAACCAGGGUCCUUGUAUUUUGGGGCAAUCUGUUGUUGAAUAAGAGAUGAGGCUUGUGCAGCCAUCACAGCUUGCCUAGGAAUACUGGUUUUUCUUUUCACCGUGGUUAAGUCUUUUAAGAAUUUUGU